UGUUUGUCCUUAAUGGCAUUUUACAUGUUACAUUACUUUGACAUUUAUACUUUAAGUAGUUCUGACGGAAUAUUCUACGGAAUAUUUUUAAACUCUACUAUCUAUAAGUUUACCUGAGUAAUGAAUGUGAAUACUUUUUACACCGUUGCAGUGCAGUAAUAGGUUGCAAUGAUUGUGACCGGUGAUGUCUGGUUAGAAUUGUCCGUGGCUGGAAUAGACAAGCCAAUCCGGCAGAAAUCACAUCCACAUUCAGAGCAGGAGACCCCACUCGCCUAUUUCGCAGGAAGUGCUUCUGACUGCAAUUCCAGCUGACCAAUGAGAAUCCUACCUGGUGUGAUUGGGGGAGGAGCUAACCUUUUAAAUGCAGGAAUUCAAGAUGGCUGUUGGAGAGUAUGGUAUGCUGCCCUUGUGCUGUUUUAAAUAGCUUUUGUUAGGACUAGUUAAUUGUGUAUUUUGCCAGCAUGUUUCCUAAGUUUGUUUUAAUAAUAUUUAUUUAACUGCUUUAUUUUAGGAAAGUGCUUUUCUUUUUAGAUAUUUUACCUGUGGUUGUUAACUUUGUUUUGUGAGAGGUUUGUUUGUUCCACAUGUGGUUUCAAGCAGGCUAGAAAGAACUCUGCUUGGUUUAGUUUUACUAGCUUAGUGGACUAAAGCACCAUGUAUUUUGGUUAUUUGCCAGGAAAGUAUAUGGUAGUUAGCUUUUUCUUUUUGUUCUCUAGAUAGUUGUAGGUAAUAAUGAUUUUUGUCCAGUGUUCCAGUUUGAUUGCUUGUUUGGGUACUUUGGAAAGACAGCAAGUUUUAGAAUGGUUGUCUGUUUUUAAUAGGCUGUUGUAAAUGCAUUUACCUCCUUUUUUUUUUUUUUUAAAUGCCAUGUUCUUGAACCAAUGACCCGAGACGGGAUUGUAGCAGGCUUAUUUAACAAAUAUAACUGAUGAAACUGGUGAAAUGUAAUGAAUCAAAAUGUAAAUGUCUUGGUAGAAAUCUUUUGAGAUACCAUAGGUCAUUAUAGCUGGUAUUACCUUAGACAUUUCCUAUAAUCAUUUCAGUCUAAUGUCAACUUGGAAAGUUUUUUUCCCACUCCUUCAUGCAGAAUUCUUUCAGCUGUGUGAUUGAUUUUCUUGCAUGCACAACAUGGUUUGAAUUCAAGUGCAUUUUGUUGGGUCAUUGUCAUGUUACGUUAUUCACCUCUGCUUUAACUUUUUUCUUUAACAGAUUUGUCUCA
RNAcentral lists this long non-coding RNA (1219 nucleotides) under Astyanax mexicanus (Mexican tetra). RNAcentral describes it as "lncRNA (ENSAMXG00005007787.1)". The record is from RNAcentral. Lineage: Eukaryota; Metazoa; Chordata; Actinopteri; Characiformes; Acestrorhamphidae.